UACGAAGGGGGCUAGCGUUGCUCGGAAUCACUGGGCGUAAAGCGCACAUAGGCGGCUUUCUAAGUCAGGGGUGAAAUCCUGGAGCUCAACUCCAGAACUGCCUUUGAUACUGGAGAGCUUGAGUCCGGAAGAGGUGAGUGGAACUCCGAGUGUAGAGGUGAAAUUCGUAGAUAUUCGGAAGAACACCAGUGGCGAAGGCGGCUCACUGGUCCGGUACUGACGCUGAGGUGCGAAAGCGUGGGGAGCAAACAGG
RNAcentral lists this ribosomal RNA (253 nucleotides) under uncultured bacterium. Its description in RNAcentral is "partial 16S ribosomal RNA". It matches the Rfam family "Bacterial small subunit ribosomal RNA", at positions 524 to 776 of the family's 1533-position model. The record is from RNAcentral.